Molecule: ribosomal RNA, 293 nt
Filed under: uncultured bacterium
Lineage: Bacteria
Description: partial 16S ribosomal RNA
Rfam family: Archaeal small subunit ribosomal RNA
Source: RNAcentral
GUGCCAGCCGCCGCGGUAAUACCGGCAGCCCGAGUGAUGGCCGAUAUUAUUGGGCCUAAAGCGUCCGUAGCUGGCCGACCAAGUCUCCCGGGAAAUCCACCCGCCCAACGGGUGGGCGUCCGGUAGAAACUGGCCGGCUUGGAACCGGAAGGCUCAGAGAGUACGUCCGGGGUAGGAGUGAAAUCCCGUAAUCCCGGACGGACUACCGAUGGCGAAAGCACUCUGAGAAGACGGCUUCGACAGUGAGGGACGAAAGCGCGGGGAGCAAACAGGAUUAGAUACCCUUGUAGUCC